RNAcentral lists this ribosomal RNA (499 nucleotides) under barley rhizosphere bacterium JJ-3776. RNAcentral's name for it is "bacterial SSU rRNA". It matches the Rfam family "Bacterial small subunit ribosomal RNA", at positions 8 to 494 of the family's 1533-position model. Lineage: Bacteria; Pseudomonadati; Bacteroidota; Sphingobacteriia. The record is from RNAcentral.
AGAGUUUGAUCCAUGGCUCAGAGUGAACGCUGGCGGUAGGCCUAACACAUGCAAGUCGAACGGCAGCACAGUAAGAGCUUGCUCUUAUGGGUGGCGAGUGGCGGACGGGUGAGGAAUACAUCGGAAUCUACCUUUUCGUGGGGGAUAACGUAGGGAAACUUACGCUAAUACCGCAUACGACCUUCGGGUGAAAGCAGGGGACCUUCGGGCCUUGCGCGGAUAGAUGAGCCGAUGUCGGAUUAGCUAGUUGGCGGGGUAAAGGCCCACCAAGGCGACGAUCCGUAGCUGGUCUGAGAGGAUGAUCAGCCACACUGGAACUGAGACACGGUCCAGACUCCUACGGGAGGCAGCAGUGGGGAAUAUUGGACAAUGGGCGCAAGCCUGAUCCAGCCAUACCGCGUGGGUGAAGAAGGCCUUCGGGUUGUAAAGCCCUUUUGUUGGGAAAGAAAAGCAGUCGAUUAAUACUCGGUUGUUCUGACGGUACCCAAAGAAUAGCAUC